GAAACCCAGGGGGAUGGAGCACAGUAGAAACAACAGCCCAGCAGGAACAGCUCUCAGAGCAGGCUGUAAAUGCUGAUAAAACAUUAUCUCCAUCAGUCUUCAGCAAUUCCAAAAAACUACAGCCAAUGUGCCAGCAGUCAAAAAGUUAUUUUGUUGCUCCUGGAAGUACAUUUCGCCUUUUCCUGCUGUCCUAGUCUCUCCUGUGGACACUGGUGCAGGGGAACCAGGAGUGCAAUACUGCCACUUCCAUCUCAAAGGCCACCUGGACAAUCAGGCACUUCACUGACAGAACUCCAGGCAAUUCAGGAAGAGGGGGAGGAACUAGGACAUUACACAAAUAGUCUGCUUUGGGACACACUUGUUCAGAUUAGACUCCAUCCACCUCUGCUUUAUAUGAUGGCAGUUCAGCUAAAUCAACCUUUUUUUCAUGUACAGCAAAUUACUCACUUUUUAACACAGACCCAAGACUAAAGUCUCUUGGGAUCUCAGCCAAACCUUAUUCAUGUGCAGCUUUGAGUUUCAUGCUUUAUUAAUUUAUUUCUAAGACAAGAAAUUGACUGCAAAGAUUAACAAGAACUUAUCC
This is a long non-coding RNA of Cyanistes caeruleus (blue tit), 583 nucleotides long. RefSeq lists it as uncharacterized. The record is from RefSeq and is a predicted model, not a curated record. Lineage: Eukaryota; Metazoa; Chordata; Aves; Passeriformes; Paridae.